This is a long non-coding RNA of Homalodisca vitripennis (glassy-winged sharpshooter), 525 nucleotides long. RefSeq lists it as uncharacterized. The transcript has 4 exons. Lineage: Eukaryota; Metazoa; Arthropoda; Insecta; Hemiptera; Cicadellidae. The record is from RefSeq and is a predicted model, not a curated record.
UCAGUCGCCUGUUGCAUGUCUGCUCGCAGCCAGGUGAGUUCGUCAUUACGCCGCUUUGCUACCUGUCGACGUCCUAUCAGUGUCUGGGAUAGAGGUACUUCUUCGGGAAGAUGAUGAUCGUUAACAAAGAAUGACUAGCAUCACAGCAAUGGAGGGAAUAAACAAACUACGAGGAGCAUAGCUACGAUGUUGUAAUGGAUAAUGACACCAACUGGAGCGGCGCCGAAUUCGAUAAUGUGACGAGGAGCGCGACGACGGCACGGCCCGGCUGGCUGUGUGACCUCCCUUCACAUCGUCACUGGCGCGGGCAAGAGACUCCCUCCUGGGAAACAGUGCGUCACCACCUCAGAUGGUUCUUUCUCACUACUAUCUUGUAUAACUCAGUAUAUGACCUAUCUGUGUGUUGACAGUGACGAGGAGCGCGACGACGGCACGGCCCGGCUGGCUGUGUGACCUCCCUUCACAUCGUCACUGGCGCGGGCAAGAGACUCCCUCCUGGGAAACAGUGCGUCACCACCUCAGAUG